GAGUGAACACAGCUCUUUAAGAAUUUUUUUCUAACAGGAUUUCUGAGGUCAGGAAUCCCAA
Molecule: small nuclear RNA, 61 nt
Filed under: Mus musculus (house mouse)
Lineage: Eukaryota; Metazoa; Chordata; Mammalia; Rodentia; Muridae
Description: U7 small nuclear RNA
Rfam family: U7 small nuclear RNA
About the family: Animal histone pre-mRNAs are spliced by a different mechanism than nuclear pre-mRNAs and self-splicing introns. This processing involves the U7 snRNP, which contains only one RNA species: U7.
Source: Rfam by way of RNAcentral